Marmota flaviventris (yellow-bellied marmot) is the source of this 1152-nucleotide long non-coding RNA. RefSeq lists it as uncharacterized. The record is from RefSeq and is a predicted model, not a curated record. NCBI's taxonomy places the organism in Eukaryota, Metazoa, Chordata, Mammalia, Rodentia, Sciuridae.
UGGUGAGACUGGCCUUGAACUUGCAAUCCUCCUACCAUAGUCUCCUGAGUCACUGGGAUUACAUGUGUUCAGCCAGACACUAUAACAUUCAGCAGCUAAAGCCUGGUGUUUCAGAUGGUUAAUAAUGAAACAGAAUAUCUGUACAGUUGAGUAAACUGCAGGUCACACCUACUUACUGUGUGACUUUCGGUAGAGUCAUUGUUAUUCUGUUAAAAUGGAGAGAUGAAGACGGUGUGAGUCAAUGACUGCCCAGCAAAUGUGUGAAGUGUUCAUUUGCCAGUGCCUCCUGUAGAGUUACCCAAUCAUAGUGCAGCCCAAAGCACAGAAACCCAACCUGACUAUCCCACCCCACUGAGCAGUAGCCCACUCUAUAGUGGAGGUGCCUAGGAAAGCAGGCUCUUCCUGGGAAGAGCCCUGUCCAGCAGCUGAAAGCAUCAGCAUUGCCAUGACUCCCAUCUACAUGGACAGCCCAUGAAAGGACAAGAUAAAUAUUCUACCUCUGCUUUUAACUUUCUGCUGAGAAUAAGCCUUAGGACACCCAUGUUACAGGGACCAAGAAGUUUGCUGAUAAGCUACUGAAGGAGUUCACUGACUUCUGCACCAACUGCAAUAACUGGCUGGUUAUGUUAUGAACAAGUUGCCUGAACAAGUUGCACACCAGUGCCCCAUGAAUCCAGGCCACUCGGCCCAAAAGAAUCCAGGCCAUUCAAGUGCAGAGGAUUCCUGUCAGGCUCUAAGGAUCAGGUUAUCAGUUUGCCUCUGCUAGUUAGUGGGAGCCCUUGCUUCUUUUUGGCUCUCCAACAAGUAUUCUAUUCUACUCAGGAGAAAGACUUGGGAAGCAGCUGCUGCUGCUACCACCACCCAGAUUCUGUCAGCAAGUGCCCAGAGCAGGUGGGAGGCACAGAUUUUCUGUGGGAGGGCUUCAGUGUCUGGGAAAGGGGGCAGGCAGCCCCCAUGAAUGUCUUUGGAGAAGGAAUGGCUCCUGUCAGCAUCCUUUUUCUCCACUGUCUGUGGAGUAAUAAGAGCAGAAUCUGCUGCUUCAUGUCCAGGAGUGUGCACAGUAUGAAUAGAAUUAAGUGAAAUAAUAUAACAUAGACUCAUACAAACUGUAUAUACCUGUACUUAUUAGAAGCCAAUAAAGCUUCACUUACA